GGAACAAUGAUGACUCCCCUCAGAAGCAUUCCUUGGAAAGCUAAACAAAAUGAGUGAGAACCCAGGGCUAAGCUAAGGGGCUGGGCUCC
RNAcentral lists this small nucleolar RNA (89 nucleotides) under Erinaceus europaeus (western European hedgehog). RNAcentral's name for it is "Small nucleolar RNA SNORD116". It matches the Rfam family "Small nucleolar RNA SNORD116". From Rfam's summary of the family: HBII-85 is a member of the C/D class of snoRNAs, which contain the C (UGAUGA) and D (CUGA) box motifs. Lineage: Eukaryota; Metazoa; Chordata; Mammalia; Eulipotyphla; Erinaceidae. The record is from Rfam by way of RNAcentral.